Molecule: transfer RNA, 67 nt
Filed under: Liometopum occidentale
Lineage: Eukaryota; Metazoa; Arthropoda; Insecta; Hymenoptera; Formicidae
Description: tRNA-Leu
Source: RNAcentral
UUUAAUAUGGCAGAUUAAGUGCAAUGAAUUUAAACUUCAUAUAUAAAGAAUAUUUCUUUUAUUAAAA